GCCUUGUUCAUCUAGUGGUUAGGAUAUCAGCUUGUGGAACAUCAAGCCGCUGAAAACACUGGUUCGAUUCCAGUACAGGGCA
Molecule: transfer RNA, 82 nt
Organism: Neonectria ditissima
Lineage: Eukaryota; Fungi; Ascomycota; Sordariomycetes; Hypocreales; Nectriaceae
Rfam family: tRNA
About the family: Transfer RNA (tRNA) molecules are approximately 80 nucleotides in length. Their secondary structure includes four short double-helical elements and three loops (D, anti-codon, and T loops).
Source: Rfam